AGCAGCCGCGGUAAUUCCAGCUCCAAUAGCGUAUAUUAAAGUUGUUGCAGUUAAAGAGCUCGUAGUUGAAUUUCGGGAUCAGUACGCUGGUCGUGCCUUCGGUAUGUACUGGUGUUACUGGUUUCUACCUUCUGAAGAACCAUCAUGUCAUUAGUUUGGUGUGGCGGGGAAUCAGGACUGUUACUUUGAAAAAUUAGAGUGUUUAAAGCAGGCUCGCGCUUGAAUACAUUAGCAUGGAAUAAUGAAAUAGGACGUUUGAUCCUAUUUUGUUGGUUUCUAGGAUCGACGUAAUGAUUAAUAGGGAUAGUUGGGGGCAUUAGUAUUCAAUUGUCAGAGGUGAAAUUCUUGGAUUUAUUGAAGACUAACUACUGCGAAAGCAUUUGCCAAGGAUGUUUUCAUUAAUCAAGAACGAAAGUUAGGGGAUCGAAGACGAUCAGAUACCGUCGUAGUCUUAACCAUAAACUAUGCCGACUAGGGAUCGGAUGAUGUUAAUUUUAAUGACUCAUUC
RNAcentral lists this ribosomal RNA (508 nucleotides) under uncultured Glomeromycotina. RNAcentral describes it as "SSU rRNA". It matches the Rfam family "Eukaryotic small subunit ribosomal RNA", at positions 569 to 1081 of the family's 1831-position model. Lineage: Eukaryota; Fungi; Glomeromycota. The record is from RNAcentral.